Molecule: ribosomal RNA, 194 nt
Filed under: uncultured Bacillus sp.
Lineage: Bacteria; Bacillati; Bacillota; Bacilli; Caryophanales; Bacillaceae
Description: partial 16S ribosomal RNA
Rfam family: Bacterial small subunit ribosomal RNA
Source: RNAcentral
UCAUCAUCGCCCCUUACGUUCUGGGCUACACACGUGCUACAAUGGCCGGUACAGACGGACGCAAAGCCGCGAGGUGGAGCAAAUCCUAAAAAGCCGGUCUCAGUUCGGAUUGCAGGCUGCAAUUCGCCUGCAUGAAGUCGGAAUCGCUAGUAAUCGCAGGUCAGCAUACUGCGGUGAAUACGUUCCCGGGCCUU